This 420-nucleotide ribosomal RNA is filed under the name Scinax fuscovarius (snouted treefrog). RNAcentral describes it as "partial 16S ribosomal RNA". It matches the Rfam family "Bacterial large subunit ribosomal RNA", at positions 1951 to 2525 of the family's 2925-position model. Lineage: Eukaryota; Metazoa; Chordata; Amphibia; Anura; Hylidae. The record is from RNAcentral.
GGAAGGUAGCGUAAUCACUUGUUCUUUAAAUGAGGACUAGUAUGAAUGGCACCACGAGGGUUGCACUGUCUCCUUUCCCUAAUCAAUGAAACUAAUCUCCCCGUGAAGAAGCGGGGGUACUAAUAUAAGACGAGAAGACCCUAUGGAGCUUUAAAUUUCUCUUCAAACGCCAGACACAAACAUCUGACACUUUACAUUAACCCGACGCCUUGAAGAUGAAUUUUAGGUUGGGGUGACCAUGGAGAACAAAAUAACCUCCACGCUGAAAAGGCCUCCAAGCCUUGAGCCGAGGGCUACAACCCAACGCACUAAAAAAUUAACACCCAUUGACCCAAUAUUUUUGAUCAACGAACCAAGUUACCCUAGGGAUAACAGCGCAAUCUACUUCAAGAGUCCCUAUCGACAAGUGGGUUUACGACC